This is a non-coding RNA of Pan troglodytes (chimpanzee), 148 nucleotides long. It matches the Rfam family "Metazoan signal recognition particle RNA". Rfam says of the family: The signal recognition particle (SRP) is a universally conserved ribonucleoprotein. It is involved in the co-translational targeting of proteins to membranes. Lineage: Eukaryota; Metazoa; Chordata; Mammalia; Primates; Hominidae. The record is from Rfam.
GCCGGGCGCAGUGGUGGGCACCUGUAAUCCCAGCUACUUGGGAGGCUGAGGCAGGAGAAUUACUUGAACCCAGGAGGUGGAGGUUGCAGUGAGCCAAGGUCAUGCCACUGCACUCUAGCCUGGGUGACAGAGCAAGACUCUGUCUCAA